RNAcentral lists this ribosomal RNA (735 nucleotides) under uncultured bacterium. Its description in RNAcentral is "bacterial SSU rRNA". It matches the Rfam family "Bacterial small subunit ribosomal RNA", at positions 8 to 722 of the family's 1533-position model. The record is from RNAcentral.
AGAGUUUGAUCAUGGCUCAGAAUCAACGCUGGCGGCGUGCCUAACACAUGCAAGUCGAACGCGAAAGGGGCUUCGGCCCUGAGUAGAGUGGCGAACGGGUGAGUAACACGUGGGUGACCUACCUUCGAGUGGGGGAUAACGUUCCGAAAGGAGCGCUAAUACCGCAUGACGUUCUGGAUUUGAACAUCUGGAAACCAAAGCCGGGGACCGCAAGGCCUGGCGCUUGAAGAGGGGCCCGCGCCUGAUUAGCUAGUUGGCGGGGUAAUGGCCCACCAAGGCGACGAUCAGUAGCCGGCCUGAGGGGGCGGACGGCCACACUGGGACUGAGACACGGCCCAGACUCCUACGGGAGGCAGCAGUGGGGAAUUGUUCGCAAUGGGCGCAAGCCUGACGACGCAACGCCGCGUGGGGGAUGAAGGUCUUCGGAUUGUAAACCCUUGUCGAGCGGGACGAAUGGCCCGCGACCUAAUACGUCGCGGGAAUGACGGUACCGCUAAAGGAAGCCACGGCUAACUCUGUGCCAGCAGCCGCGGUAAUACAGAGGUGGCAAGCGUUGUUCGGAAUUACUGGGCGUAAAGGGCGCGUAGGCGGCCUUCUAAGUCAGACGUGAAAUCCCCCGGCUCAACCUGGGAACUGCGUCUGAUACUGGGGGGCUUGAGUGCGGGAGAGGGAUGUGGAUUUCCAGGUGUAGCGGUGAAAUGCGUAGAUAUCUGGAGGAACACCGGUGGCGAAGGC